CUCUUUAAGGGACAAGCAUAAGUCCUACGACUCCCUUUGCAUAAAUAUUUUGUGAAUUACAAAGACUGAUCCACUACGUUUGAUUGUAGUUUGCACAAUUUCAAUUUCAUUUUUUAUUAUGAUGCGUUCAUGCAUUGUAGUAGGUGGUCUCAUUGUUCUUUUUGGGUCCAUGCACCUGCUUAUUUUUCUUUGACCAUUGAUCUGUACUAUGAAUAAAAAAAAUAACUUGUCACCCAUCUUGACUUUAACACUUGCCAGAGCACAAAUAAAGACAUCUUUUAUUCAAAUGUAUAAUGCACCAAAUGCAUGUUAUUUUUUUAUAUCACAGUUCAAAAGGUUAAUCUGGAAUUCUUUUGACAAUAAUUGCUAACUUUUUUUGAUCCAUGCAAACUAGAAAGGGGAAUACCGUUUUAUUGCAGCGAUUAAAAAUGUAUUUGCUUUGACUGGUUAACAUGCCAACACCUGAAGUAUAUAAGUAGCAGAUGUUGUGGGUUUGAUCGUAACGUCAUGACGCAAUCUUGCUGCGUCAAGAGAAUUUUCAGAUGGCCAAUUGCAGCUCUUCGGGGUUUGUUUGUUUUUAACUCAACACUGGAUGGACGUACUACCACGGUACUACUGUCACUCGCAAGACAAAUUGUCCGCACAGAUGUGGUGGUUUUCCGGUGUAAGCACAACGCCUCGAAUGGAGAGGGAGAGAAGGACCUACAGCAGGCAUCCUGUGAAGCUUUUCUCUACUAAUAUGAAUGAAAAUCAAAGAAAAUGAUCUGUAACGCCAUUCUACGGAUCCAAUUCCCCUUCAACUCCAGUGGUCAAUGACUGUUGCAGUAGGUCGCUCCACGAGGACAACUGCUGCAGUGGGCUGGUUCCCCCAAGCACUACUGGAUAGGCUAGCCCUCCUCGAAGACUUUCCAACCUCUUUCACUCAGUUGACAUGACAUUCGGGCCGAGCAAUAAAGGAUUGUUCAUAUGUA
Molecule: long non-coding RNA, 971 nt
Organism: Engraulis encrasicolus (European anchovy)
Lineage: Eukaryota; Metazoa; Chordata; Actinopteri; Clupeiformes; Engraulidae
Exons: 3
Source: RefSeq, a predicted model, not a curated record